GGAGGGGUGCAAGCGUUAAUCGGAAUUACUGGGCGUAAAGCGCGCGUAGGGCGGCUUUGUAAGUCAAAUGUGAAAGCCCCGGGGCUCAACCUGGGAAUUGCAUUCGAAACUGCAGAGCUAGAGUAUGGUAGAGGGAAGUGGAAUUUCCGGUGUAGCGGUGAAAUGCGUAGAUAUCGGAAGGAACACCAGUGGCGAAGGCGACUUCCUGGGCCAAUACUGACGCUGAGGUGCGAAAGCGUGGGGAGCAAACAGAAUUAGAUACCCUGGUAGUCCACGCCGUAAACGAUGAGAACUAGAUGUCGGGAGGAUCUGCCUUUCGGUGUCGCAGCUAACGCGUUAAGUUCUCCGCCUGGGGAGUACGCCGGCAACGGUA
This 373-nucleotide ribosomal RNA is filed under the name uncultured organism. RNAcentral's name for it is "partial 16S ribosomal RNA". It matches the Rfam family "Bacterial small subunit ribosomal RNA", at positions 526 to 896 of the family's 1533-position model. The record is from RNAcentral.